GACGAACGCUGGCGGCGUGCUUAACACAUGCAAGUCGUACGGUAAGGCCCUUUCGGGGGUACACGAGUGGCGAACGGGUGAGUAACACGUGAGUAACCUGCCCACAACUUUGGGAUAACGCUAGGAAACUGGUGCCAAUACUGGAUAUGUGCCCCUGCUGCAUGGUGGGGGUUGGAAAGCUCCGGCGGUUGUGGAUGGACUCGCGGCCUAUCAGCUUGUUGGUGGGGUAGUGGCCUACCAAGGCGGCGACGGGUAGCCGGCCUGAGAGGGUGACCGGCCACAUUGGGACUGAGAUACGGCCCAGACUCCUACGGGAGGCAGCAGUGGGGAAUAUUGCACAAUGGGCGCAAGCCUGAUGCAGCAACGCCGCGUGCGGGAUGACGGCCUUCGGGUUGUAAACCGCUUUCAGCAGGGACGAAGCUUUUUGUGACGGUACCUGCAGAAGAAGCACCGGCUAACUACGUG
Molecule: ribosomal RNA, 465 nt
Filed under: uncultured bacterium
Lineage: Bacteria
Description: partial 16S ribosomal RNA
Rfam family: Bacterial small subunit ribosomal RNA
Source: RNAcentral